This 612-nucleotide ribosomal RNA is filed under the name uncultured bacterium. RNAcentral's name for it is "bacterial SSU rRNA". It matches the Rfam family "Bacterial small subunit ribosomal RNA", at positions 254 to 880 of the family's 1533-position model. The record is from RNAcentral.
GGGGUAACGGCCUACCAAGGCUUCGACGGGUAGCUGGUCUGAGAGGAUGUCCAGCCACACUGGGACUGAGACACGGCCCAGACUCCUACGGGAGGCAGCAGUGGGGAAUCUUGCGCAAUGGGCGAAAGCCUGACGCAGCGAUGCCGCGUGCGGGAUGAAGGCCUUCGGGUUGUAAACCGCUUUCAGCAGGGACGAAAUUGACGGUACCUGCAGAAGAAGCCCCGGCCAACUACGUGCCAGCAGCCGCGGUAAUACGUAGGGGGCGAGCGUUGUCCGGAUUUAUUGGGCGUAAAGAGCUCGUAGGCGGUUCGAUAAGUCGGAUGUGAAAUCUCCACGCUCAACGUGGAGGAGCCAUUCGAUACUGUCGUGACUCGAGUCCGGUAGGGGAGUGUGGAAUUCCCGGUGUAGCGGUGAAAUGCGCAGAGAUCGGGAGGAACACCCGUAGCGAAGGCGGCACUCUGGGCCGGUACUGACGCUGAGGAGCGAAAGCGUGGGGAGCGAACAGGAUUAGAUACCCUGGUAGUCCACGCCGUAAACGUUGGGCGCUAGGUGUGGGCCACAUUCCACGUGGUCUGUGCCGCAGCUAACGCAUUAAGCGCCCCGCCUGGGGAG